This 344-nucleotide ribosomal RNA is filed under the name Mycetaea subterranea. RNAcentral describes it as "partial 12S ribosomal RNA". The record is from RNAcentral. Lineage: Eukaryota; Metazoa; Arthropoda; Insecta; Coleoptera; Endomychidae.
UGAAAAUUUAAAUUUAAUUGUCAGAUUAGUAUUAGUUAAGUUCUUUAAAAUUAAAAAUUUUGGCAGUAUUUUAGUCUUUUCAGAGGAACCUGUUCUAUAAUUGAUAAUCCACGAUUAAUUUAACUUAAUUUUAGUUUAUAUAUCGUCGUAGUUGAGUAUUUUAUAAGAAUAAUAAUAUUCAAAAUAUUUUAUUAAAAAAUAAAUCAGAUCAAGGUGUAGCGUAUAAUUAAGAAGAAAUGGGUUACAAUUUUUAUAAUAUUAAAUUUAUUAUUGAAAAUAAUAAUGAAAUUGGAUUUGAAAGUAAUUAAUUAUAUAUUUUAUUAAUGAUUUAGCUCUAAAAUAUG